GCACAGACAUUGCUCUGGGUAGGAGAUUGGGGCCAAGACUGUACAACUAGAAGCUCUCCAGCUCUAUCCUUACAAAUAAAAGAAAUGUCAGUAUCACACCAGACACCAAUAAACAAUUUUGCAGCUUCUGCCAAACAUUUUGUUUGAAUGUUUUUUUUAACCCAUUGAGUGUCAGCACUCUCCCCCUGAUGAGUAAAUUGUCUAGUGUUAGACAGUAAAAUAAUCUGGCUUUAG
Paramuricea clavata is the source of this 234-nucleotide non-coding RNA. The record is from the annotation of a GenBank genome assembly. Lineage: Eukaryota; Metazoa; Cnidaria; Anthozoa; Malacalcyonacea; Plexauridae.